Molecule: ribosomal RNA, 1070 nt
Filed under: Curtobacterium sp. PhB78
Lineage: Bacteria; Bacillati; Actinomycetota; Actinomycetes; Micrococcales; Microbacteriaceae
Also listed under: 8 other names
Description: bacterial SSU rRNA
Rfam family: Bacterial small subunit ribosomal RNA
Source: RNAcentral
AGUGACGGUACCUGCAGAAAAAGCACCGGCUAACUACGUGCCAGCAGCCGCGGUAAUACGUAGGGUGCAAGCGUUGUCCGGAAUUAUUGGGCGUAAAGAGCUCGUAGGCGGUUUGUCGCGUCUGCUGUGAAAUCCCGAGGCUCAACCUCGGGCUUGCAGUGGGUACGGGCAGACUAGAGUGCGGUAGGGGAGAUUGGAAUUCCUGGUGUAGCGGUGGAAUGCGCAGAUAUCAGGAGGAACACCGAUGGCGAAGGCAGAUCUCUGGGCCGUAACUGACGCUGAGGAGCGAAAGCAUGGGGAGCGAACAGGAUUAGAUACCCUGGUAGUCCAUGCCGUAAACGUUGGGCGCUAGAUGUAGGGACCUUUCCACGGUUUCUGUGUCGUAGCUAACGCAUUAAGCGCCCCGCCUGGGGAGUACGGCCGCAAGGCUAAAACUCAAAGGAAUUGACGGGGGCCCGCACAAGCGGCGGAGCAUGCGGAUUAAUUCGAUGCAACGCGAAGAACCUUACCAAGGCUUGACAUACACCGGAAACGGCCAGAGAUGGUCGCCCCCUUGUGGUCGGUGUACAGGUGGUGCAUGGUUGUCGUCAGCUCGUGUCGUGAGAUGUUGGGUUAAGUCCCGCAACGAGCGCAACCCUCGUUCUAUGUUGCCAGCGGGUUAUGCCGGGGACUCAUAGGAGACUGCCGGGGUCAACUCGGAGGAAGGUGGGGAUGACGUCAAAUCAUCAUGCCCCUUAUGUCUUGGGCUUCACGCAUGCUACAAUGGCCGGUACAAAGGGCUGCGAUACCGUAAGGUGGAGCGAAUCCCAAAAAGCCGGUCUCAGUUCGGAUUGAGGUCUGCAACUCGACCUCAUGAAGUCGGAGUCGCUAGUAAUCGCAGAUCAGCAACGCUGCGGUGAAUACGUUCCCGGGCCUUGUACACACCGCCCGUCAAGUCAUGAAAGUCGGUAACACCCGAAGCCGGUGGCCUAACCCUUGUGGAAGGAGCCGUCGAAGGUGGGAUCGGUGAUUAGGACUAAGUCGUAACAAGGUAGCCGUACCGGAAGGUGCGGCUGGAUCACCUCCUUUCU